UCAAGACAAAUGUUAUAUAUUUCUCAAUAACUACUAACAAGAACAAUAGGAUGGCUUCACAGUGAUUAGUGGUAAUCAUCUGUAUUACAAGCAAAAUUUAGAGCCUCCAGUGAUCUGAAAACAUCACAUUACCUCCAAACAAAGAAAUAAUAAUAAUAGAACCAGACAAAAUUUUCCUUUGUAAAGUUCAGAAGAAAGAAUGGAUGCAAAUCCAUUGAUAGGGGCUGCACAGGAUCAACUAAGAAUAUGGAUAGACGCCUUCCAAAGCUGCCAUCCUUAAGGCUAGCCUAUUAAUCGACUUUGGCUACCUAAUUCCUGGAAGAGCUUCUCCUGAUCCAAGACAUAUAUGAUCACGCAAGGAGGAGACAAUAUGUUAAAAUCUUCAAACUCUAUGGCCAAUUUCUGAUUGGCAAUUGUGAAUGAUCAAGAAAACAAAUGGUGAUCCACAAAUUGACACAUCACAAAAACAUGUAAAAUAGGAGAAAUUGGUAUUACCUUAGGGUUUAGGGGGAAUAGGGCUGGUUGGCCGGUGGUUGAUGUCUGACGGUUUCAGGAGCAGAGAACAGGGAGGGGGCAGCAGAUGGAGCAGAUGC
Molecule: long non-coding RNA, 593 nt
Filed under: Oryza sativa (Asian cultivated rice)
Lineage: Eukaryota; Viridiplantae; Streptophyta; Magnoliopsida; Poales; Poaceae
Description: long non-coding RNA (OSAT_LNC000246)
Source: RNAcentral